This 119-nucleotide ribosomal RNA is filed under the name Phaseolus vulgaris (common bean). The record is from RNAcentral. Lineage: Eukaryota; Viridiplantae; Streptophyta; Magnoliopsida; Fabales; Fabaceae.
AGGUGCGAUCAUACCAGCACUAAUGCAUCGGAUCCCAUCAGAACUCCGCAGGUAAGCGUGCUAGGGCGAGAGUAGUACUAGGAUGGGUGACCUCCUGGGAAGUCCUCGUGUUGCACUUC